AAUACAUGCGUCUAGAUGUGCAGUGCGAAGGGCGGAUGAGAUUGUGUCAGCGGGGUGCUCUUGACUUGCUGUGCAGGUGGGCCUUUGGGAGUCGAUUAUCAGCCUCCUCCCCCUAUCUUGAGCACGCUAGCUGGCAGGCUGGCUGGUGCCUGCCCUGCUCUGGGAAUUGGGGCUGAGCGGUAGCCGGAGAAUUGGGGGGAGGAGGGCACAACAGCCAGCAGGACAGGCAGCCUGCAAACGAGUAGGUGGACACAGAAAAGACGAGGGAGAGAGAACAGAGGCUGUGAAUAUUUACGGACCACGCAAGCCAAAUGAUCAGAAUGCGCCCGUCUCUCCAGGAUCCCAAAGCGCUUCACCCCUGGAGAGCAGCCCACCCGCCCUGGGAGAGACGAGGAACCGCGGCGUCAGCAGCCGAAUUCAGGGCCAGGUUAGUCGGCGCAGAAAACAUUAGCAGCGGUAGGCAAGAGAAAUGGAGAUGCCAAAACAGCUCCAGGACAGGAGGACAUCAGAGCCCCCACACAGAAACAAAAUGAGCCAAAGGGAUGCUGGGAGGCUUCAGCAAGGACUGCUGGGAAGGAAAGCCCCGCACUGAUACACUCGUGGACAGGUGAUCGGCAGAAGUUGAGGUAUUGACUUUCUCCCCAGCUGCGACCCAGGAGCGCUGUAUAAAUGGCUGACCCUGCGCUCUGACCCCCAGCUUCUCUCCCUGCCUGUGUGUCUCACGGAGAGCAAGCAGGAGUCUGCGAAAAGACAAAUUCCUAAUGCAAGAAAUUGUAUAUGGAUAAUAAAGUGACCUUAUCUUA
Molecule: non-coding RNA, 803 nt
Organism: Lepisosteus oculatus (spotted gar)
Lineage: Eukaryota; Metazoa; Chordata; Actinopteri; Semionotiformes; Lepisosteidae
Source: RefSeq, a predicted model, not a curated record